RNAcentral lists this ribosomal RNA (393 nucleotides) under uncultured bacterium. Its description in RNAcentral is "partial 16S ribosomal RNA". It matches the Rfam family "Bacterial small subunit ribosomal RNA", at positions 523 to 918 of the family's 1533-position model. The record is from RNAcentral.
AUACGGAGGAUCCGAGCGUUAUCCGGAUUUAUUGGGUUUAAAGGGAGCGUAGGCGGACGCUUAAGUCAGUUGUGAAAGUUUGCGGCUCAACCGUAAAAUUGCAGUUGAUACUGGGUGUCUUGAGUACAGUAGAGGCAGGCGGAAUUCGUGGUGUAGCGGUGAAAUGCUUAGUUAUCACGAAGAAAUCCGAUUGCGAAGGCAUCCUGCUUGACUGUAACUGACGCUGAUGCUCGAAAGUGUGGGUAUCAAACAGGAUUAGAUACCCUGGUAGUCCACACAGUAAACGAUGAAUACUCGCUGUUUGCGAUAUACAGUAAGCGGCCAAGCGAAAGCGUUAAGUAUUCCACCUGGGGAGUACGCCGGCAACGGUGAAACUCAAAUGAAUUGGCGGGG